RNAcentral lists this ribosomal RNA (405 nucleotides) under uncultured bacterium. RNAcentral describes it as "partial 16S ribosomal RNA". It matches the Rfam family "Bacterial small subunit ribosomal RNA", at positions 28 to 526 of the family's 1533-position model. The record is from RNAcentral.
GACGAACGCUGGCGGCGUGCUUAACACAUGCAAGUCGAGCGGAGCGGCGAACAGGUGAGUAACGCGUGAGUAACUGCCCCCCUCUCUGGGAUGACAGUUGGGAACGGCUUCUAAUACCGGAUAGUGGGGGGUGACUCGCGUCCAAUCUGCUUGGUGGUGGUGUAGUUGCUUACAAAGGCGACGACGGGUAGCCGGCAUGAGAGGGUGAACGUCCACAUUGGGCUGAGAUACGUCCCAAACGCAUACGGGAGGCAGCAGUGGGGAAUAUUGCACAAUGGGGGAAACCCUGAGGCAGAAACGCCGCGUGCGGGAGGACGGCCUUCGUGUUGGAAACCGCUGUCAGCUAUGACGCGGUAGUGGCAGAAGAAGCACCGGCUAACUACGUGCCAGCAGCCGCGGUAAUUC